UUGCCUACGGGAGGCAGCAGUGGGGAAUAUUGCACAAUGGGGGAAACCCUGAUGCAGCAACGCCGCGUGAGUGAAGAAGUCAUUCGUGAUGUAAAGCUCUAUCAGCAGGGAAGAAAAUGACGGUACCUGACUAAGAAGCCCCGGCUAACUACGUGCCAGCAGCCGCGGUAAUACGUAGGGGGCAAGCGUUAUCCGGAUUUACUGGGUGUAAAGGGAGCGUAGACGGCGACGCAAGUCUGAAGUGAAAUGCCAGUGCUCAACACUGGAACUGCUUUGGAAACUGUGUGGCUAGAGUGCAGGAGAGG
Molecule: ribosomal RNA, 305 nt
Filed under: uncultured bacterium
Lineage: Bacteria
Description: bacterial SSU rRNA
Rfam family: Bacterial small subunit ribosomal RNA
Source: RNAcentral